GAAAGCCUCGUCCAAAGAUUGCUUUGGUCUAGUGGUAUAGGAGCUCCAGCUGGAGUGCCCGCCUCUGGGUUCGAGCCUUGGCCACUGCGGAAUUUACAUAUGGGCUGCAGCAUCCGAGACCGAAGACCGUUACACGGUGAGCCACAUGGUGACGCCCUGGCAGCGUCCAUGCUCACUUCGGUCUCUAGUCUGGACCACUUCGGUGGGGCCAGGAUACUCGGUUAGCAAAAAAAAAAAAAAAAAAAAAAAAAA
Brassica rapa (field mustard) is the source of this 252-nucleotide long non-coding RNA. RefSeq lists it as uncharacterized. Lineage: Eukaryota; Viridiplantae; Streptophyta; Magnoliopsida; Brassicales; Brassicaceae. The record is from RefSeq and is a predicted model, not a curated record.